This 380-nucleotide ribosomal RNA is filed under the name Bacillus sp. KF-2016-R. RNAcentral describes it as "bacterial SSU rRNA". It matches the Rfam family "Bacterial small subunit ribosomal RNA", at positions 969 to 1349 of the family's 1533-position model. The record is from RNAcentral. Lineage: Bacteria; Bacillati; Bacillota; Bacilli; Caryophanales; Bacillaceae.
CCUUACCAGGUCUUGACAUCUCCUGACCGCCCUGGAGACAGGGUCUUCCCUUCGGGGACAGGAUGACAGGUGGUGCAUGGUUGUCGUCAGCUCGUGUCGUGAGAUGUUGGGUUAAGUCCCGCAACGAGCGCAACCCUUGGUUCUAGUUGCCAGCAUUCAGUUGGGCACUCUAGAGCGACUGCCGGCGACAAGUCGGAGGAAGGUGGGGAUGACGUCAAAUCAUCAUGCCCCUUAUGACCUGGGCUACACACGUGCUACAAUGGAUGGUACAAAGGGCAGCGAAGCGGCGACGCAUGAGCGAAUCCCAGAAAACCAUUCUCAGUUCGGAUUGCAGGCUGCAACUCGCCUGCAUGAAGCCGGAAUCGCUAGUAAUCGCGGAU